GACGAACCGUGCGAACGUUAUUCGGAAUCACUGGGCUUAAAGCGCGUGUAGGCGGGCCGGCACGUCGGUCGCUGAAAUCCCCCGGCUCAACCGGGGAACGGGCGCCGAUACGACCGGCCUGGAGGGGGGUAGGGGGCGCCGGAACUCACGGUGGAGCGGUGAAAUGCGUUGAGAUCGUGAGGAACGCCCGUGGCGAAAGCGGGCGCCUGGACCCCGCCUGACGCUGAGGCGCGAAAGCGUGGGGAUCAAACAGG
This 254-nucleotide ribosomal RNA is filed under the name uncultured bacterium. Its description in RNAcentral is "partial 16S ribosomal RNA". It matches the Rfam family "Bacterial small subunit ribosomal RNA", at positions 524 to 776 of the family's 1533-position model. The record is from RNAcentral.